Molecule: ribosomal RNA, 632 nt
Filed under: Amanita excelsa
Lineage: Eukaryota; Fungi; Basidiomycota; Agaricomycetes; Agaricales; Amanitaceae
Description: partial small subunit ribosomal RNA
Rfam family: Bacterial small subunit ribosomal RNA
Source: RNAcentral
AAGAGUGAACUAGCUAACUGAAAUCACAAGCAAUUUAAAUGUUAAUUGUGAUAAGGUAAGGGAAAAAACUGAUGUUACCUUACUAUAAGUGUUGUCCAAAACUGGUGCCAGAAGACUCGGUAAGACCAGAAACGCAAACGUUAAUCGUCCUAAUCAGGCGUAAAGGGUUCGUAGGCUGCUUUUAACGAUUUUUAUUUAAAAAAGCUCUUAUUUUUUAUUAAAUUAAAUUACAAAUUAAAAGCAAAAUUACAAAUACAAAAUACAAAUUACAAAUUUACCAAAUAAAAAUCAAAUAAGUAAAACAAAAAUAAUAAUAAAAGCUAGAAUCAAAUUUAGGAUAUGAAAAAUGCUUAGAGUAGGGAUGGUAUCCAUAGAUACUAAGUGGAAUACUAAAGGCGAAAGCUUCUAUCUAAUAAUGAUUGACGCUGAGGAACGAAGGUGAGAAAAGGAAAUAGGAUUAGGUACCCAGAUACCUCUCACUGUCAACGAUGAAUGGUAGUUAGUCAGUUUUAAAACAAAUUGGUAACGAUGUUAACGCGAUAACCAUUCCGCCUUGCGAGUACGGUUGCAAAACUGAAACCAAAAAAAUUAGUCGUUCUCGAAGCAAACGAAGUGGAGCAUGUUAUUUAAUU